Molecule: long non-coding RNA, 1283 nt
Filed under: Phasianus colchicus (ring-necked pheasant)
Lineage: Eukaryota; Metazoa; Chordata; Aves; Galliformes; Phasianidae
Description: lncRNA (ENSPCLG00000001820.1)
Source: RNAcentral
AUGCAUCAUUUUUCCUUCCCUAGUUCUUAUGCUUAUAAUACUUUGUUACCAUAAUUAAUGCUGCUUACUUUACAUUUCAGUGAGGUAAAUGCAAUGACAUUUUCAAGUGGUUGAAGUAAAACAGUAACUGCUAUCUCUGUGAUCAGAAGUCAUCCCUAUUGAGGCUAGUUCAAAAUUCAAUCCUGUGGCUAUCCAUGCAUAUGAGAGAUGUGAUAGACUAUUUGGGAAUACUUUGAAAUACUUGACUGUUUUGGAAAUAAAAAGUUUCAUUUGCCACAAAGUACCACAGCACAAAUGUAGGUAAAUAAUAAAAAAUCAUAAAUGUGAUUGCUUACAUAGCUAUUUCAAUUGUACCAUCAAGUUUAAAGAAUCACAUGACUUCAGCGAUCAUUCACACAACAAAUAAUAAUCAAAACAAUCAUAACAUGGUUAGCAAGUGCUCAUUGACUUCUUGGUAAAAAGUAACUAUAUUCAUAGAGAAUAACUCUAGCAGCAAAAAAAAAUAAAAAUGUUUCAAACACUAAGAUAUGGAAUGAGUAUCUACGUGAGUUCAAAUGUCAGGAGAAAAUGUGAAAAGAAAGUGAGAGAGACCCAGAUUCAGCCUUGAAGAAUCAUGUAUGGAGCACCUGUCACUAAAUGCUGUCAGCUCAAUUGGAGAAAAGUUCAAAUGAUCUUGGUGGAGUUAAUAAUCACAAACAAGAAUUCAUAUCCAUAUCUGAAAGAGAACAACCUCCUAGACAGUAACAUAACUGUGUUUUGUUACUUAUUCUGACAGCAGGAAAGAAUUAACAAAAUGCAGAUUUGAAGGAGGUAAAAUACACACAGUACGCAUAGAGAUCUGUUGAUAUAUGGAAGGCACUCAGAAAAGAAAAUAUAUUCAUGCAGUACACCUAACCACUAGCAAUAAAAGUCUCUCAGGAGGUGUGUGUAAAUCUCCUUAUUACUGGAAGUCUAAAAUAAGAGGAAAGAGGGGGAGCGAGUUACCUUUUUUUCUUUCACACCCUUUCCCAGAACACCUGGCAAUGCCCAUAGGGACUCAGAUGAGAAGGCAGCUGGACCAGAAGUAAACAGAAGCACAAAACCACGGAAUUGUAGUGACACUGUCAUCACUGAAUUUCAGCAGAAGUGUGGCGCAUCCCAGGAUAGAUUCCACCACAGUGGAAGCACAGCCCUCAGGAUUCCCUAGGGUUACUCUUGAACACGUGGAACCCAGGCUUCAGCUCUUCCUGUUGGUAAGUAUUGCUUAGCAUUGAGCAUUUGUUCAUUUCUUGAUUGCACAAAGG